AAAUUGAAGAGUUUGAUCAUGGCUCAGAUUGAACGCUGGCGGCAGGCCUAACACAUGCAAGUCGAACGGUAACAGGAAGAAGCUUGCUUCUUUGCUGACGAGUGGCGGACGGGUGAGUAAUGUCUGGGAAACUGCCUGGUGGAGGGGGAUAACUACUGGAAACGGUAGCUAAUACCGCAUAACGUCGCAAGACCAAAGAGGGGGACCUUCGGGCCUCUUGCCAUCGGAUGUGCCCAGAUGGGAUUAGCUAGUAGGUGGGGUAACGG
RNAcentral lists this ribosomal RNA (266 nucleotides) under Escherichia coli. RNAcentral's name for it is "partial 16S ribosomal RNA". It matches the Rfam family "Bacterial small subunit ribosomal RNA", at positions 1 to 263 of the family's 1533-position model. The record is from RNAcentral. Lineage: Bacteria; Pseudomonadati; Pseudomonadota; Gammaproteobacteria; Enterobacterales; Enterobacteriaceae.